GGCAUGGCGCAGCCUGAUCCAGCAUGCCGCGUGCAGGAAGAAGGCCUUCGGGUUGUAAACUGCUUUUGUACGGAACGAAACGGUCUGGGUUAAUACCUCGGGCUAAUGACGGUACCGUAAGAAUAAGCACCGGCUAACUACGUGCCAGCAGCCGCGGUAAUACGUAGGGUGCAAGCGUUAAUCGGAAUUACUGGGCGUAAAGCGUGCGCAGGCGGUUUUGUAAGACAGGCGUGAAAUCCCCGGGCUCAACCUGGGAAUGGCGCUUGUGACUGCAAAGCUGGAGUGCGGCAGAGGGGGAUGGAAUUCCGCGUGUAGCAGUGAAAUGCGUAGAUAUGCGGAGGAACACCGAUGGCGAAGGCAAUCCCCUGGGCCUGCACUGACGCUCAUGCACGAAAGCGUGGGGAGCAAACAGGAUUAGAUACCCUGGUAGUCCACGCCCUAAACGAUGUCAACUGGUUGUUGGGUCUCUUCUGACUCAGUAACGAAGCUAACGCGUGAAGUUGACCGCCUGGGGAGUACGGCCGCAAGGUUGAAACUCAAAGGAAAUUGACGGG
Molecule: ribosomal RNA, 554 nt
Filed under: uncultured bacterium
Lineage: Bacteria
Description: bacterial SSU rRNA
Rfam family: Bacterial small subunit ribosomal RNA
Source: RNAcentral